CGUUGGUGAACCAGCGGAGGGAUCAUUAGCGAGUCUCUUUUUAGUGCUCCAAACCCCUGUGAACAGUCCCAAAAGACGCUGCCUCGGCGGGUUAGCUGGUUUUCCAGCGUGUCCGGCCGGUUAAUUCAGGCCGGGCGCCCGCCGGAGGGAGCAACCAACACUCUUAUUUUAAAAAUUAUUUCAAAACCUUUUUAAAAAAAAAAUAAGCAAAACUUUCAACAACGGAUCUCUUGGCUCUGGCAUCGAUGAAGAACGCAGCGAAAUGCGAUAAGUAAUGUGAAUUGCAGAAUUCAGUGAAUCAUCGAAUCUUUGAACGCACAUUGCACCUAGUGGCAUUCCGCUAGGUAUGCCUGUUCGAGCGUCAUUUCAAGCCUCAGGCCCCAGGGCACUGGUGUUGGGGAUCUGCGGCGCCGCCUCCGGGAAGGGCCGCAGUCCCCCAAAUCUAACGGCGUGCUCGCUGUCUAGCUCUUUGCGUAGUGGUAUUUUCAAAUAUUUUCGCACCGAGUUGCAGCGUGGCGUAGCCGCUAAAUUUAUCUUACCAAGAAAAAAAAGCUUGACCUCGAAUCAGGUAGGGUUACCCGCUGAACUUAAGCAUAUCAAUAAGCGGAGGAAAAGAAACCAACAGG
This 626-nucleotide ribosomal RNA is filed under the name Natantispora retorquens. RNAcentral describes it as "eukaryotic LSU rRNA". The stretch from base 211 to 364 matches the Rfam family "5.8S ribosomal RNA". Lineage: Eukaryota; Fungi; Ascomycota; Sordariomycetes; Microascales; Halosphaeriaceae. The record is from RNAcentral.